This 73-nucleotide transfer RNA is filed under the name Cladosiphon okamuranus. Its description in RNAcentral is "tRNA-Ala". It matches the Rfam family "tRNA". From Rfam's summary of the family: Transfer RNA (tRNA) molecules are approximately 80 nucleotides in length. Their secondary structure includes four short double-helical elements and three loops (D, anti-codon, and T loops). Further hydrogen bonds mediate the characteristic L-shaped molecular structure. tRNAs have two regions of fundamental functional importance: the anti-codon, which is responsible for specific mRNA codon recognition, and the 3' end, to which the tRNAs corresponding amino acid is attached (by aminoacyl-tRNA synthetases). tRNAs cope with the degeneracy of the genetic code in two manners: having more than one tRNA (with a specific anti-codon) for a particular amino acid; and 'wobble' base-pairing, i.e. permitting non-standard base-pairing at the 3rd anti-codon position. The record is from RNAcentral. Lineage: Eukaryota; Phaeophyceae; Ectocarpales; Chordariaceae.
GGGGAUAUAACUCAGUUGGUAGAGUGUACGCUUUGCAAGCGUGAGGUCAAGAGUUCAAAUCUCUUUGUCUCCA